CUCCCGGCUAAUUGAGCCCGGAUGGUGCCAUGCUGCGGGGAGGGCGGCCGGCGGGGCCCCCGCGGACCGGGGAAGGCGGCGGCGGCGGCGGCAGGACCGAGACUGGAAGAAGAAAGAUUCCUCCUAACCGAGUCACCAGGAACCUGAUCCCACCAAGGCCAAGACGGCUUUACAGGCUGCUCUUGGCAAGCCUCUCCGCACUGUGCCCUGGCCAGGGAAGACAGGAAGGCUCCUCUGGUCGGUGCUGGCAUUCCGGGCUCCAUGGACCCUGCUACUGACACAUGUCCACAAGGGUGAACCCCAGCAAGGGACGAGGCAAGAGGGAAGCAUGCCACCACUUCCUCAUCCUCCAACAUGGACAGCCAAGGGAGAUCAGGGCCAGGUGAGCCCGCAGGAGCCACCGGACACAGAAAUCACUUUUGGAUUAUCUGCCACCUGAUUAAAUGCACAACGGCCUUUUUUGCUUAAGGGAAAAAAAAAAAGGAUUCCAUGUUUAAAAAAUAUAUAUUUUUUAGCCUCUGGUAGUCCAGAGGCUAAGACUCUGUGCUCCCAAU
Molecule: long non-coding RNA, 554 nt
Organism: Cervus elaphus (red deer)
Lineage: Eukaryota; Metazoa; Chordata; Mammalia; Artiodactyla; Cervidae
Exons: 3
Source: RefSeq, a predicted model, not a curated record